GAUGAAGACGUAGCGAAAUGCGAUAAGUAAUGUGAAUUGCAGAAUUCAGUGAAUCAUCGAAUCUUUGAACGCACAUUGCGCCCCCUGGUAUUCCGGGGGGCAUGCCUGUUCGAGCGUCAUUUCACCACUCAAGCCUCGCUUGGUAUUGGGCAACGCGGUCCGCCGCGUGCCUCAAAUCGACCGGCUGGGUCUUCUGUCCCCUAAGCGUUGUGGAAACUUUCGCUAAAGGGUGUUCGGGAGGCUACGCCGUAAAACAACCCCAUUUCUAAGGUUGACCUCGGAUCAGGUAGGGAUACCCGCUGAACUUAAGCAUAUCAAUAAGCGGAGGA
RNAcentral lists this unclassified non-coding RNA (329 nucleotides) under soil metagenome. Its description in RNAcentral is "partial contains 5.8S ribosomal RNA, internal transcribed spacer 2, and large subunit ribosomal RNA". The stretch from base 1 to 119 matches the Rfam family "5.8S ribosomal RNA", at positions 35 to 154 of the family's 154-position model. The record is from RNAcentral.